This 497-nucleotide ribosomal RNA is filed under the name uncultured bacterium. RNAcentral describes it as "partial 16S ribosomal RNA". It matches the Rfam family "Bacterial small subunit ribosomal RNA", at positions 28 to 507 of the family's 1533-position model. The record is from RNAcentral.
GAUGAACGCUGGCGGCGUGCCUAAUACAUGCAAGUCGAGCGAACAGACGAGGAGCUUGCUCCUCUGACGUUAGCGGCGGACGGGUGAGUAACACGUGGAUAACCUACCUAUAAGACUGGGAUAACUUCGGGAAACCGGAGCUAAUACCGGAUAACAUGUUGAACCGCAUGGUUCAACAGUGAAAGACGGUCUUGCUGUCACUUAUAGAUGGAUCCGCGCCGCAUUAGCUAGUUGGUAAGGUAACGGCUUACCAAGGCAACGAUGCGUAGCCGACCUGAACGGGUGAUCGGCCACACUGGAACUGAGACACGGUCCAGACUCCUACGGGAAGCAGCAGUAGGGAAUCUUCCGCAAUGGGCGAAAGCCUGACGGAGCAACGCCGCGUGAGUGAAGAAGGUCUUCGGAUCGGAAAACUAUGUUAUUAGGGGAGAACAAAUGUGUAAGUAACUAGGCACGUCUUGACGGUACCUAAUCAGAAAGCCACGGCUAACUACGUG